AGGACGAACGCUGGCGGCGUGCUUAACACAUGCAAGUGGAGCGACGAACCGGGGCUUGCCCCGGGGCAGAGCCGCGAACGGGUGAGUAACACGUGGGUUACCUACCCCAAUGACCGGGACAACCCGAGGAAACUCGAGCUAAUACCGGAUGUGGUCUUCGGACGAAAGGAAGCUUCGGCCUCCGCAUUGGGAUGGGCCCGCGGCGCAUUAGCUAGUUGGUGAGGUAACGGCUCACCAAGGCGACGAUCGGUAGCUGGUCUGAGAGGAUGACCAGCCUCACUGGGACUGAGACACGGCCCAGACUCCUACGGGAGGCAGCAGUGGGGAAUAUUGGACAAUGGGCGCAAGCCUGAUCCAGCCAUGCCGCGUGGAUGAUGAAGGCCUUAGGGUUGUAAAGUCCUUUUAACGGGGAAGAUAAUGACGGUACCGUAGAAUAAGCCCGGCUAACUUCGUGCCAGCAGCCGC
RNAcentral lists this ribosomal RNA (465 nucleotides) under uncultured bacterium. Its description in RNAcentral is "SSU rRNA". It matches the Rfam family "Bacterial small subunit ribosomal RNA", at positions 26 to 518 of the family's 1533-position model. The record is from RNAcentral.